GAACUUUCCAGAGAUGGAUUGGUGCCUUCGGGAACUGUGAGACAGGUGCUGCAUGGCUGUCGUCAGCUCGUGUUGUGAAAUGUUGGGUUAAGUCCCGCAACGAGCGCAACCCUUAUCCUUUGUUGCCAGCGGUCCGGCCGGGAACUCAAAGGAGACUGCCAGUGAUAAACUGGAGGAAGGUGGGGAUGACGUCAAGUCAUCAUGGCCCUUACGACCAGGGCUACACACGUGCUACAAUGGCGCAUACAAAGAGAAGCGACCUCGCGAGAGCAAGCGGACCUCAUAAAGUGCGUCGUAGUCCGGAUUGGAGUCUGCAACUCGACUCCAUGAAGUCGGAAUC
This 340-nucleotide ribosomal RNA is filed under the name Escherichia coli. RNAcentral describes it as "bacterial SSU rRNA". It matches the Rfam family "Bacterial small subunit ribosomal RNA", at positions 993 to 1333 of the family's 1533-position model. Lineage: Bacteria; Pseudomonadati; Pseudomonadota; Gammaproteobacteria; Enterobacterales; Enterobacteriaceae. The record is from RNAcentral. RNAcentral also lists the same sequence under 1 other name.